Molecule: long non-coding RNA, 3965 nt
Filed under: Xyrichtys novacula (pearly razorfish)
Lineage: Eukaryota; Metazoa; Chordata; Actinopteri; Labriformes; Labridae
Source: RNAcentral
CAGAUAGCAUGACAUGUCCAGACUUAUUCACUGAGAUGAUCCAAUCAAAUUAUUUCCUUUUUCUUCGGGGCAUUAGCAACGGCUGCAUGUGAAAGUGUCUGCUGUGUAAUUAUUCUGUCACGUCAAACACCGUAGACGAACUUGUGUGUCUCUUCUUGAACAACCUGCAACCUCCAAGCUUGAGGAUUAAACUCGACGCAGAAAUGCUUAAAACUAAACAAAAGCCUAAAAUAUAAACAUGUGUACAACUUGGUUUUAACACAGAGUCUAAAAGCUUCAUAGUCUAUCAGCAGCAGGGGUUCAUUUUCAAAGACGGUAAGUUUGGCGAGUUAGAGGCAUGACUUCACUUCAGGAAGACUGUAGGAGCUCAGAGAGACCGAUAACCAAUCAGAGAAAUAAAGGAAAAAUGUAAUCAUGCACGUUUUUGAAACUGCUUCAUCCACUUAUUCAGAACUGCAGCAGGAACACAUACAAUGGACCAUCCUGAGGUAGAAGCUGCUGUCUUGGUUGGUCCAGAGUACCUGAAAUCACCGGGAAAUCAGCUGACAGCUCUAAACCUGCAAGCAAAAAUGAAGAUGUUACGAUACUACAUAGUAUUUUGUCUCCACAGUGUCACUGAGAGACUUCAAAAGUUAAUGUAAGUUUAUAAACAUGCUUGAUGCACAUUUAUAUUUGUACUCUACAAACCUGCAGGGGUAUAAGAAUGUAAAUUGGCUUCUUAUUAAUGUGCACUGUCUCUUUAAAAAAGCAACUCACUCAACAUCUAUAUAUUUUUUAACUUUUAGCGGCUGCAUUCACCUGUUCAUGCUGAACUUUUGCAGGAAAAAAGUCCAAUCAAAGUCAAGGUGAAACUUUUGUUUGUGUUUACAGAAUUGCAGGAAUAUUUCUGAAGUUUGGUGCAAAUAUUAAAGCAGACAUUGAGUGUCACCAUCCUCUAAAUCCACAGAUUUACACAUCCAACAUGGCCGCCAGAGUGGAGGUUACGUCACAUGAAAGGAAAACAGCAUUUUUUAAAAAUUUUCACAAGAGUCAUAUGAUGAGUUUGUGGUGAUUUCCCAUCAGAGUCAGGAGACCAGAUCAGUUUGACCUGAUGGUUGUGUCUAUCAGGUGUUCUUGCUGCCAUGACCACACACACACACACACACACACACACACACACACAGACACACACACACGUGCAGACUCAGAGCAGACAGCGCUGUAGGAAACGCUCAGCUUUUGUUUAAUAAACAUGUUGACGCUCCGACAGCCAAUCAGAGAGCAGCUCUUUCAAACACACACACAUACACACACCUCUCUGACCCAGACAUAUAUGCUCGGAGCAAUGUUAACACCUACACACACAAACAAGUCUGUCUUAUAUUCUGACGGUUCGCCCUCGGUUGUUCCCAGAAAUCAGAGACGAUCACAACGAGACGACAGGCGAGGCCCUCGGGACCCACAACACACAUGUACUGUAACUGUACCUGCACAACACACACACACACGCACACACUACAGCAGUGAGUGGUAAUCAUUUUAAACACGCCUGAAUACCUGUUUGUGCUCACGUGACUUCCUCAAGCGUCUCAUUAAAACCUUAAUCCUCUUUAUUUCACACUUGAACCCGAGCUGGAGUGUUUGUUUGGAUCCAGAGGGAGUGAAAAGUGUGUCUGAUGAUAAUUACUGCAUUUUUUAAUUUAAUUAAGACUAAAACAGCACCACACCUCUGCUUUGUCGGGGCCCGUGUACGUUCUAAUCUGAGGUUACAGUGAUAGAGUGAAGGUGUCACGUGCGGCCUCAGUAUGACUGAGAGGUAAAACAUGCAGCUCUCAGGUGUGUGUGAUGACUAUUUUUAGGGUCAGUGUUGCGAAACAACAAAAAGUUCCACUUCACUCCUCAGCAUGUGUGUUUUUGUUUGUUUGUGAGCGUGCCAGAGGUUCAACCACAACACUAGACCGUCCUACUCUACCUGUAAAUUACAGAGUACACUGUAGCUACUGUCAUAACAAACUACACCUGAGUGUCAUGUGACCUCCCGCCAUUAUGUAAGAGAUCUGGCUCUGUUCGCCAAUGACAUCAUCUUGAGAUAAGAGUCUUCUCCAUGUCGGACAACCGUGGUGAAGAGGGUUCGAUCGAUAUUCCAACCCUCAACUCUGACCUGAAGCUGUGAGCAACGACUGAGAGAGGAAGAUCUCAAGAAGUUAGAGAGAGUCUUAAAGACGGGGUCAGGGUCUGGAGGAGAGUCUUGUAAAGAAGUCAGUCGUAAUGGUUCAGGCAUUUAUAAGAAAGCCUUCGAGGUGACUUUCCUUAAAGGUGUUGAAGGUGUAGCGAGGUAGGAGGAGCCCAGAGUUCCCUGGGAGAACUACAUGUCACCACAGAAUUCCAACUGGAAAACACUGCUGGAAAGACGGAUGCUUAGACUGACUAACGCCAAACGUUCAUUCAGAACGGCAGCAAUAAGGCCAUUGGCGUCGAUCAACACUGAUUGUUUCCAUUCAAGUUAAUGUGUCAAAUUCUACAGGCUUCUUUCUGGCUCCCCUGCGGUACAGUCGGCUUCGUAGACAAUUACCAGGGUUCUAUUUUUUCCAGACACUAGAGCAUGGUGGAUAAAUUCAGCACAGAUUAACCCGUACUGGAAAGGAAGUCGGGCACAGACACAAAAUAAAACAUCUGGCUUCUUUUCAAAAUAAAACACUCCAUGUUUCAAGCGGAUCAUAUUCCAUGCAAACAUGGUUUGAUUCCUCGAUAAAGAUAAAUGUUGCUCUUACCCAUGGUUAAUUCCCAAUCUCCACAAAAGUGUCUGAUCUACUGGGCUGAACAGAGUAGAUUUCCUCCUCUGGAAGGACACAAUCUACUGCAAAUAUGUCUAUGUGGCUGUCUUUAUAGAGACAACUCGUUAUCAUGAGAUUGCAUGUGAAUUCACAGGUUCUUGUGAGUCCUUGUGAUUCCUGCUGUCUAAAAUUUGCCUCACAAACGCAUCCGAUAGGAAUUGGCGGACAGUGAAAAUAGCCACAGUUCAGAUGCGGUGGAAUCGGUGCAGUGAAACUUGUCCUGAACUUUUACCAGCACUGCAGUAAAAUCUCUUUCUGAAUUUUCACCCAGUGUGAGUCGUUGUUGAGGUGAUCAGGUGACUGAAGUGGACCUGGGAGAGCCAGAGGUUAGAGAAGCAAAAUCUGUUUGGAAAUCAAGUCGACUCAUUCAUCUGUUUGCACUAAAAACUGCCAUGGUAUGUCUCUGUUGCUCAGUCAGCCAUCAUAUCCUGCUUCCAGAGAUCGACCAUCUCCACUCUUCCUCUAACAGGCUGAACUUCACUUUGUGAGGGAUGAAUGAAAAAGCAACUUCUGAUGGUUUUCUGGGGCAGUGGUCUUGAGAAAUAUUCAAAGUUGUCUCCAUCAUAAAGACGAAGGAGAGCUGACAUUAAUUUCUAAAACAGUGUCAUGAACAAGAAAACCAACAUUUCAGUCUUUGUGUUUGGCACCGUCUGUUGUCGUUCUGUCCUUUUAGUGGACUCAUAUGUGGACUCAUAUGUGGACAGUGUGACAGAUGAAGCUGUGAGUUAUGUCCACCUCUGCUCGGCCCUGUGUCAGCGUUUGUCCUUGACUGGGGAUGAGUUGUGUGAAAAGGGGGGUUUUCGGCCCAAUCCGGAUCAGGACCUGCAGCCUUUAAAUCACUCCCGGGGUCACGGCAAAAUCAUGACCGCCAGAUUAGAUGGAAACACACUCUCUCUCUUUAUCACUGUCUGAUUAGACACUGAGGGAGGGAGGAGGAAGAAGAGAUGACGAAGAAGAGAGAAAAACAUCCUCGACUUUCAGUUUCAGAGAUUUCAGAGUGUUUUUCCACUCCUGACGGUGGCCCGCUUACAUCUCUCCUCUCUGUGUCUCCAGGUGUGGCUGUAAGAGAAAGCCAGAGUCUCCCCAUAUCAGCUGUCAGACUGCAUGACUCAUCACGCAUGUCUGGCUAUUAAUGACUCACACACACACACA